GACGAACGCUGGCGGCGUGCCUAAUACAUGCAAGUAGAACGCAGUUGCGAACGGGUGAGUAACGCGUAGGUAACUGCCUGGUAGCGGGGGAUAACUCUUUGAAACGAUAGCUAAUACCGCAUACUACCAAAUGGACCUGCGUUGUAUUAGCUAGUUGGUGAGGUAAAGGCUCCACAAGGCAACGAGACAUUGCCGACCUGAGAGGGGGAUCGGCCACACCGGGACCGAGAACAGGCCCAGAACCCUACGGGAGGCAGCAGUAGGGAAUCUUCGGCAAUGGGGGGAAGCCUGACCGAGCAAAGCCGCGGGAGUGAAGAAGGGUUUCGGAGCGGAAAGCUCUGUUGUUAAGGAAGCGGUACUUAACCAGAAAGGGACGGCUAACUACGUGCCAGCAGCCGCGGUAAUUC
This 407-nucleotide ribosomal RNA is filed under the name uncultured bacterium. RNAcentral's name for it is "partial 16S ribosomal RNA". It matches the Rfam family "Bacterial small subunit ribosomal RNA", at positions 28 to 526 of the family's 1533-position model. The record is from RNAcentral.